UUAUCGGAGAGUUUGAUCCUGGCUCAGGACGAACGCUGGCGACGUGCCUAAUACAUGCAAGUCGAGCGGACAGAUGGGAGCUUGCUCCCUGAUGUUAGCGGCGGACGGGUGAGUAACACGUGGGUAACCUGCCUGUAAGACUGGGAUAACUCCGGGAAACCGGGGCUAAUACCGGAUGCUUGUUUGAACCGCAUGGUUCAGACAUAAAAGGUGGCUUCGGCUACCACUUACAGAUGGACCCGCGGCGCAUUAGCUAGUUGGUGAGGUAACGGCUCACCAAGGCGACGAUGCGUAGCCGACCUGAGAGGGUGAUCGGCCACACUGGGACUGAGACACGGCCCAGACUCCUACGGGAGGCAGCAGUAGGGAAUCUUCCGCAAUGGACGAAAGUCUGACGGAGCAACGCCGCGUGAGUGAUGAAGGUUUUCGGAUCGUAAAGCUCUGUUGUUAGGGAAGAACAAGUGCCGUUCAAAUAGGGCGGCACCUUGACGGUACCUAACCAGAAAGCCACGGCUAACUACGUGCCAGCAGCCGCGGUAAUACGUAGGUGGCAAGCGUUGUCCGGAAUUAUUGGGCGUAAAGGGCUCGCAGGCGGUUUCUUAAGUCUGAUGUGAAAGCCCCCGGCUCAACCGGGAGGGUCAUUGGAAACUGGGGAACUUGAGUGCAGAAGAGGAGAGUGGAAUUCCACGUGUAGCGGUGAAAUGCGUAGAGAUGUGGAGGAACACCAGUGGCGAAGGCGACUCUCUGGUCCUGUAAACUGACACGCUGAGGGAGCGAAAGCGUGGGGAGCGAACAGGAUUAGAUACCCUGGUAGUCCACGCCGGUAAACGAUGAGUGCUCAAGUGUUAGGGGGUUUCCGCCCCGUUAGUGCUGCAGCUAACGCAUUAAGCACUCCGCCUGGGGAGUACGGUCGCAAGAAUGAAACUCAAAGGAAUUGACGGGGGCCCGCACAAGCGGUGGGAGCAUGUGGUUUAAUUCGAAGCACAAAACGCGAAGAACCUUACAAAGGUCGUGACCUUCCUCUGUACAAUCCCUAGAGAUAGGACGUCCCCUUCGGGGCAGAGUGACAGGUGUGUUGCAUGGUUGGUCCGUCAGCGUCCGUGUCGUGAGAUGUUGGGUUAAGUCCCGCAACGAGCGCCAACCCUUGAUCUUAGUUCCCAGCAUUCAGCUUGGGCAACUCUAAGGUGACUGCGUGACAAACCGGAGGAAGGUGGGGAUGACGUCAAAUCAUCAUGCCCCUUAUGACUUGGGCUACACACGUGCUACAAUGGGCAGAACAAAGGGCAGCGAAACCGCGAGGUUAAGCCAAUCCCACAAAUCUGUUCUCAGUUCGGAUCGCAGUCUGCAACUCGACUUCGUGAAGCUGGAAUCGCUAGUAAUCGCGGAUCAGCAUGCCGCGGUGAAUACGUUCCCGGGCCUUGUACACACCGGCCCGUCACACCACGAGAGUUUGUAACACCCGAAGUCGGUGAGGUAACCUUUUUGGAGCCAGCCGCCGAAGGUGGGACAGAUGAUUGGGGUGAAGUCGUAACAAGGUAGCCGUAUCGGAAGGUGCGGCUGGAUCACCUCCUUU
This 1573-nucleotide ribosomal RNA is filed under the name Bacillus amyloliquefaciens. RNAcentral describes it as "bacterial SSU rRNA". It matches the Rfam family "Bacterial small subunit ribosomal RNA". Lineage: Bacteria; Bacillati; Bacillota; Bacilli; Caryophanales; Bacillaceae. The record is from RNAcentral.